RNAcentral lists this ribosomal RNA (449 nucleotides) under uncultured bacterium. Its description in RNAcentral is "partial 16S ribosomal RNA". It matches the Rfam family "Bacterial small subunit ribosomal RNA", at positions 29 to 523 of the family's 1533-position model. The record is from RNAcentral.
AACGAACGCUGGCGGCAGGCCUAAACCAUGCAAGUCGAACGAUCUAGCAAUAGAUAGAGGCGCACGGGUGCGUAACGCGUGGGAAUAUGCCCUUCACUACGGAACAACGUCGGGAAACUGACGCUAAUACCGUAUAAUGACUCCGGUCCAAAGAUUUAUCGGUGAAGGAUUAGCCCGCGUCUGAUUAGGUAGUUGGUGAGGUAAUGGCUCACCAAGCCGACGAUCAGUAGCUGGUCUGAGAGGAUGAUCAGCCACACUGGGACUGAGACACGGCCCAGUCUCCUACGGGAGGCAGCAGUUAGGAAUAUUGGACAAUGGGGGAAACCCUGAUCCAGCCAUGCCGCGUGUGUGAAGAAGGCCUUAGGGUUGUAAAACACUUUCGGCUGUGAAGAUACUGACAGUAGCAGAAGAAGAAGCUCCGGCUAAAUUCGUGCCAGCCGCCGCAGUAA